AGCGAACGCUGGCGGCAGGCCUAACACACGCAAGUCGAACGGACCCUUCGGGGUUAGUGGCGGACGGGUGAGUAACACGUGGGAACGUGCCUUUAGGUUCGGAAUAGCUCCUGGAAACGGGUGGUAAUGCCGAAUGUGCCCUUCGGGGGAAAGAUUUAUAGCCUUUAGAGCGGCCCGGGUCUGAAUAGCUAGUUGGUGAGGUAAAGGCUCACCAAGGCGACGAUCAGUAGCUGGGCUGAGAGUAUGACCAGCCACAUUGGAACUGAGAAACGGCCCAAACUCCUACGGAAGGCAACAGUGGAGAAUCUUUCGCAAUGAGCGAAAGCCUGACGCAGCCAAGCCACGUGAAUGAUGAAGGUCUUAGGAUUGUAAAAUUCUUUCACCGGGGACGAUAAUGACGGUACCCGGAGAAGAAGCCCCGGCUAACUUCGUGCCAGCCGCCGCAGUAA
Molecule: ribosomal RNA, 449 nt
Filed under: uncultured bacterium
Lineage: Bacteria
Description: partial 16S ribosomal RNA
Rfam family: Bacterial small subunit ribosomal RNA
Source: RNAcentral